Molecule: unclassified non-coding RNA, 408 nt
Filed under: Hevea brasiliensis (rubber tree)
Lineage: Eukaryota; Viridiplantae; Streptophyta; Magnoliopsida; Malpighiales; Euphorbiaceae
Source: RNAcentral
GCGGAACAGCCAUCGGAGCAACGUCUCUGUCUGCAUGAACAUAUACAGCAGGUAUCAAAGGCACUUGUGGCACACCAAGCCCAGGAAGUGGAUGAGUUGGAAUAGCAGUAGCAGCCGGAGUAGCAGAACGGAAUAGCUGAAUGAGCUUUCUCACAUGCUGGUCAGUAAGUUCAGUCUUGAAAAAGUUCCGCUUCGAAUCGACAUUUUCCUUGAUUGCAUUCUUAAAGACAUCUUCAGGCAGAGGCUGGCAAUCCAGGUGAACCUUGAACCGAACCUGUGCAGGAUAGGAGCCAUUGAAGGCAGACGGUUCGAGUUUCAUCCCACCAGCUGACGUUGCUUUAUAGACCCCAUACAACAGCUUCGAGUCGAAAUCAUAGAGGAAGAGUUUCAUAUCAGGCUUGAUGUUCA